RNAcentral lists this ribosomal RNA (250 nucleotides) under uncultured bacterium. RNAcentral's name for it is "partial 16S ribosomal RNA". It matches the Rfam family "Bacterial small subunit ribosomal RNA", at positions 524 to 773 of the family's 1533-position model. The record is from RNAcentral.
UACGUAGGUGGCAAGCGUUAUCCGGAAUUAUUGGGCGUAAAGCGCGCGUAGGCGGUUUCCUAAGUCUGAUGUGAAAGCCCCCGGCUCAACCGGGGAGGGUCAUUGGAAACUGGGGAACUUGAGUGCAGAAGAGGAGAGUGGAAUUCCAUGUGUAGCGGUGAAAUGCGCAGAGAUAUGGAGGAACACCAGUGGCGAAGGCGGCUCUCUGGUCUGUAACUGACGCUGAUGUGCGAAAGCGUGGGGAUCAAAC